RNAcentral lists this long non-coding RNA (190 nucleotides) under Zonotrichia albicollis (white-throated sparrow). RNAcentral's name for it is "lncRNA (ENSZALG00000001846.1)". The record is from RNAcentral. Lineage: Eukaryota; Metazoa; Chordata; Aves; Passeriformes; Passerellidae.
CUGAGACAUGGACAGGUGAGCCAUGGACAGGUGAGCCAUGGACAGGUGAGCCAUGGAGACCUCAUGUCACCGCCUGGAUCACGCCCAGGAUCAGGAUCUGACAGGUGAGACACGGACAGGUGAGAUAUGGACAGGUGAGACAUGGACAGGUGAGACAUGGACAGGUGAGACAUGGACAGGUGAGACAUGG